CGGUGUUUAACUGGCGUGAUGUGGGACGUCCUACCGGUGGGCUUAGCCUCGCGAGGGGCGGCCCAACUAAUAUCCCGUCGCGGUGCUCUUUACUGAGUGUCGAGUCGGGCCGGUACGUUUACUUUGAACAAAUUAGAGUGCUUAAAGCAGGCUAUCCUCGCCUGAAUACUGCGUGCAUGGAAUAAUGGAAUAGGACCUCGGUUCUAUUUUGUUGGUUUUCGGAACCCCGAGGUAAUGAUUAAUAGGGACAGAUGGGGGCAUUCGUAUUGCGACGUUAGAGGUGUAAUUCUUGGAUCGUCGCAAGACGGACAGAAGCGAAAGCAUUUGCCAAAAAUGUUUUCAUUAAUCAAGAACGAAAGUUAGAGGUUCGAAGGCGAUCAGAUACCGCCCUAGUUCUAACCAUAAACGAUGCCAGCUAGCGAUCCGCCGAAGUUCCUCCGAUGACUCGGCGGGCAGCUUCCGGGAAACCAAAGCUUUUGGGUUCCGGGGGAAGUAUGGUUGCAAAGCUGAAACUUAAAGGAAUUGACGGAAGGGCACCACCAGGAAUGGAGCCUGCGGCUUAAUUUGACUCAACACGGGAAACCUCACCAGGCCCAGACACCGGAAGGAUUGACAGAUUGAUAGCUCUUUCUUGAUUCGGUGGGUGGUGGUGCAUGGCCGUUCUUAGUUGGUGGAGCGAUUUGUCUGGUUAAUUCCGAUAACGAACGAGACUCUAGCCUGCUAAAUAGGCGUACCUUAUGGUAUCGCGAAGGCCCCCGGCUUCGGCCGGUGGGUUUUUACUACCAACGUACAAACAAAUCUUCUUAGAGGGACAGGCGG
RNAcentral lists this ribosomal RNA (819 nucleotides) under uncultured eukaryote. Its description in RNAcentral is "SSU rRNA". It matches the Rfam family "Eukaryotic small subunit ribosomal RNA", at positions 629 to 1426 of the family's 1831-position model. The record is from RNAcentral.